UGCUUACACAUGCAAGUCGAACGCUGAAGCCCAGCUUGCUGGGUGGAUGAGUGGCGAACGGGUGAGUAACACGUGGGUAAUCUGCCCUGUACUCUGGGAUAAGCCUGGGAAACUGGGUCUAAUACCGGAUAGGACACACUGCCGCAUGGUGGUGUGUGGAAAGCUCCGGCGGUACAGGUUGAGCCCGCGGCCUAUCAGCUUGUUGGUGGGGUGAUGGCCUACCAAGGCGACGACGGGUAGCCGGCCUGAGAGGGUGACCGGCCACACUGGGACUGAGACACGGCCCAGACUCCUACGGGAGGCAGCAGUGGGGAAUAUUGCACAAUGGGCGCAAGCCUGAUGCAGCGACGCCGCGUGGGGGAUGACGGCCUUCGGGUUGUAAACCCCUUUCGCCAGGGACGAAGCGUAAGUGACGGUACCUGGAGAAGAAGCACCGGCCAACUACGUGCCAGCAGCCGCGGUAAUACGUAGGGUGCAAGCGUUGUCCGGAAUUAUUGGGCGUAAAGAGCUCGUAGGCGGUGUGUCACGUCUGCCGUGAAAACCUGCGGCUUAACCGUGGGCGUGCGGUGGAUACGGGCAUCACUUGAGUUCGGUAGGGGAGACUGGAAUUCCUGGUGUAGCGGUGGAAUGCGCAGAUAUCAGGAGGAACACCGGUGGCGAAGGCGGGUCUCUGGGCCGAUACUGACGCUGAGGAGCGAAAGCGUGGGGAGCGAACAGGAUUAGAUACCCUGGUAGUCCACGCCGUAAACGUUGGGCGCUAGGUGUGGGGCGCUGU
This 775-nucleotide ribosomal RNA is filed under the name Saccharomonospora sp. M1-8. RNAcentral's name for it is "bacterial SSU rRNA". It matches the Rfam family "Bacterial small subunit ribosomal RNA", at positions 45 to 833 of the family's 1533-position model. Lineage: Bacteria; Bacillati; Actinomycetota; Actinomycetes; Pseudonocardiales; Pseudonocardiaceae. The record is from RNAcentral.